Mauremys mutica (yellowpond turtle) is the source of this 526-nucleotide long non-coding RNA. RefSeq lists it as uncharacterized. The transcript is spliced from 4 exons. The record is from RefSeq and is a predicted model, not a curated record. NCBI's taxonomy places the organism in Eukaryota, Metazoa, Chordata, Testudines, Geoemydidae.
ACACUGUAAGGCAUAAGAAAGCUCAUGCAGUAUGCAGUCCCUGACUUAGUAAGGAGCAGACACCAGUAGGAGAAGGCAGCCAAAUCCUCUGAGCCUAAGGAGAGGAGAGCUGGGCGUACUGCCAUAUGGAGAAGAUACACAGAGAGAAACUGCCACCCAGCUCCAGAAAGCAAGAUAGAAGAUAGGCAGACCCCAAGGAAAGCAGGAUUCAAGCUGACAGGAUGCAGGAUCAGGAACUUUGGAGACUCAGGAACCACGCAGGUGAACAGGAUGUGGAAGUAAAAGUGUGGCUAUGUGCAUGCAUAUGUGGGAGCUCUCAUAAAUUCCACAUGGGGAAGGCGCCAGAAAGAAAAGUUCCAAGUUUAAACAGCCCUAAAUAUUGUCUAAAAAGACACUUGUUAAAGUGUGUUCUGUGUCUAAAAGUCCUGAGAGCCUUGAGAUUGUCAUUUGUCUUUUCUGGUAAAUAAGAGUUGUUAAACUGCUUCUUAUCAAGAGUGUACUGUUAAAGUUUGUUUUAUAAUAUGUU